AAUAAGGUGCCUGAUAAAAGGACUAUUUUGAUAGAAUAGAAUAUGUAAUGAAUUACCCUUAUUA
Molecule: transfer RNA, 64 nt
Filed under: Panstrongylus rufotuberculatus
Lineage: Eukaryota; Metazoa; Arthropoda; Insecta; Hemiptera; Reduviidae
Description: tRNA-Ile
Source: RNAcentral